CAUGGUGUGAGGGCAGGGACUGAGCCGGCCCGGCCCGGCCCGGCUCGGCGGCGGCAGCAGCACCAUGUCGGGCCCGAGCGCCGUGUCGGACCCGCAGCACCCGGCGCGGCUGCUGCGGGCGCUCAGCUCGUUCCGGGAGGAGACGCGGUUCUGCGACGCGCACCUGGUGCUGGAGGGCGAGGAGAUCCCGGUGCAGAAGAACAUCCUGGCGGCCGCCAGCCCCUACAUCAGAACAAAAUUGAAUUACAAUCCUCCAAAGGAUGAUGGCUCAACGUACAAGAUUGAACUUGAAGGGAUAUCUGUUGAUAUCAUGAAAGAGAUAUUAGACUACAUCUUCAGUGGGCAGAUCAGGCUAAAUGAAGAAACUAUCCAAGAUGUGGUACAGGCAGCUGAUCUCCUGCUGCUUACAGACUUAAAAACUCUCUGCUGUGAGUUUUUAGAAGGUUGCAUAGCUGCUGAGAACUGUAUUGGUAUUCGGGACUUUGCACUGCACUAUUGUUUGCAUCAUGUUCACUACCUUGCCUCAGAGUAUCUGGAAACUCACUUUCGAGAUGUCAGCAGCACAGAGGAAUUCUUGGAACUGACUCCUCAAAAACUGAAAGAAGUGCUGUCCAUGGAAAAGCUCAAUGUUGGAAACGAAAGAUACGUCUUUGAAGCGGUGAUUAGGUGGAUUUCUCAUGAUUCAGAAUCCAGAAAGGUCCACAUGAAGGAUGUGAUGUCGGCAGUGUGGGUGUCGGGGCUGGACGCGGCGUAUCUGCGCGAGCAGAUGAUGAGCGAGCCGCUGGUGCGCGAGAUCGUCAAGGAGUGCAACAACAUCCCCCUGACACCCCCGCAGCAGGGAGAGGCCAUGCUGGCCUCCUUCAAGCCCCGGGGCUACUCCGAGUGCAUCGUGACUGUUGGGGGGGAAGAGAGAGUAUCACGGAAACCAACCUCAGUGAUGCGGUGUAUGUGUCCUCUUUAUGAUCCCAAUAGACAGCUCUGGAUUGAACUUGCUCCUAUGAGUAUUCCAAGGAUCAAUCAUGGAGUAUUGUCAGCAGAAGGAUUUUUAUUUGUGCUUGGUGGUCAGGAUGAAAACAAGGGAACGCUAAGCUCUGGAGAGAAAUAUGAUCCAGACACCAAUUCAUGGAGUUCCUUACCACCAAUGCAUGAGGCACGACAUAAUUUUGGUGUGGUAGAGAUUGAUGGGAUUCUGUAUAUUCUGGGAGGUGAGGAUGGUGAAAGGGAGCUGAUCUCUAUGGAGAGCUAUGACAUUUACAGCCGGACCUGGACCAAGCAGCCAGACUUGACCAUGGUUAGAAAGAUUGGCUGCUAUGCAGCUAUGAAGAAGAAAAUCUAUGCAAUGGGUGGAGGCUCCUAUGGAAAACUCUUUGAAUCUGUGGAGUGUUACGACCCCAGGACUCAGCAGUGGACAGCAAUCUGUCCUCUCAAAGAGAGGAGAUUUGGGGCAGUGGCCUGUGGAGUUGCCUCUGAGCUUUAUGUAUUUGGUGGGGUCAGGAGUCGUGACGACAGCCAAGCCAGUGAGAUGGUGACGUGCAAAUCAGAAUUUUAUCAUGAUGAGUUUAAAAGGUGGAUUUAUCUAAAUGACCAGAACCUAUGUAUCCCAACUAGCUCUUCUUUUGUGUAUGGAGCUGUGCCCAUCGGAGCCAGCAUAUACGUGAUUGGAGAUCUCGAUACAGGUACAAACUAUGACUAUGUUAGGGAAUUUAAGAGGAGCACGGGCACCUGGCAGCGCACCAAGCCGCUGUUCCCCUCGGACCUGCGGCGGACGGGCUGCGCGGCGCUGCGCAUCGCCAACUGCAAACUCUUCCGGCUGCAGCUGCAGCAGGGAUUGUUCCGCAUCCGCGUACCUUCUCCGUGAGCCCGUGCUGCCAGGGGACCAGACUGGAAGAGUGCUGUGCAGUCCACCAUAAUCUAGCUCUAUUUAAAGGAAAAGCUGAGAAAUUACAGCUGAAAAUUACACUGUAUGCUGUGCUUUGGUAUGGUAACUGUUUUUGUUUUAAAUGCUUACAAAGCUUGAGUCUCAGUACUUGUUUCGGGAACAAAUAACUUAAGUACACAUUAAAGAGGAGAGAAGGGGGAAAAUAAAAGGGGGAGAUCAAGGAAACACCUUCAGUCGUAACCAUUUGGAGUUUAAACCUUGUUAUUGAAGGAGGAUUUUGUGUCUGAAACUGGUGGGAAUCUGUUUCCUUUGGCGAAGCUUAUUGAAAAGCAAAAACAAAAAAAGCUUUCAGGUGCGUUUCCCCUGCGGGGAACUGAUACGAAUCCAUGUGCUAUCUGGAACUGGAUAGCUGUAAUACACAGAAGCUACAUGACAACCAACCUCCCUGGUGUGCUGCUGUUGGAGCAUGAGGCCACAGGAGUUGUUGGUCAUUGCACCUUUUAUUUCUAGUCCUUUCUCAAAAGAUAAGGUCUGUGCCUAAAAAAUGGUGGAGGUGUGUACAUAUGGUUUUUCAUUGAUUUGCAACGGUUUCAUUCUGACAAAUAUUUUUAAUAUAUAUAAAAUGGACUAAUCUGAAAUGGAUACACCCCAGAAAAUGGAUACAGUACACCACAAAGAAGUAAACAGUUUUUUCCUACGCUGUCAUUCGAGUAGCCUGAUGAACUGGUCUGCAGACAAAGUGCCAAGAUCCCAUAUUCAAAAGUGAUGAAUGUUCCUAAGUAUCUGUUUCACUUUGAGCUCAGUUUUCUAAGUGGCUUGGAAAACUUCAGAAAAUGUUAUUCAGAAUAUUGCAGCUGCUAUCUCCCGAGUCCCUGUAGCUCCCCAGUACACUUGAGGGCAUUCAGCAUCCAGAAAACGUAAGUGAUAAAUGCACAUGAUAAACCCAAGUAAAUACUCUAGCAGUGUUUUGCCGUUCAAGUUACUGAACCAAAUGUUUACACUUAGAGUAGGAUUAACACUAGGCGUUCUUAGUUUGUUUUUUUUAAAAGAAAAUAUAAAUAAAAGAAACAAAUCUGCUGGUGAUUGGAGCAUGUUGUGAAUGCACUCAGUGAGAUUUGACCAAGAACUUUGAGCCUCUGUACCUGAACCAGUCACAAACUGAAUUUCUGAGCACAUUGUACUCGUGUCAUGUUUCAUGUGGCUGGGACCAAGUCUCCAGGGAUGCUCUCCAGGGGUUUUUGGUGUGUGCUCAAGAUUUAGGCACUCCUGAGUUCUCAAAGCUGGCUUCCUUGGCCUUGCCUAAGGGGAUGGGACCAUUCCCCUUCUGCAUUGUCUGUGGGACUGAUCCAGGAGCUGUUCCAGCCUCUGUGUGUGCAGGAGGGAGGGGAUGUGUCUUCCUGUCUGUCUGUCUGUCCAGCUCUGAUCUGUGAAUGCAUCCCUUGGAUUGUGCAAUAACCAGGUUCGAUUUCCCUCAGAAUUUGGAGCAAGGCUUGUGGUGUGGUUCUAGUGAAGAACUGUAACCACACCAUAAGUGUGGUUUGAAGCCAAGGCUCCCCUUUCUGCAGGGAUUGUACCAGUGGUGGUGUGGGGGUGAAGAGGCAGAGCUCACCUCUGGCUUCUCUCUCUCUUUUCCGAGGGGGGGUUGCCUUCAGAAGGGGAGGGAGGCUGUGCUGGUACCAGAGGGCUGAGAGGAGGGAGGUCACCAGUUUGCUGAGUGUUGGAUGUGCAAACAGCUGUAGAUUGAACUGGCCUCACUGGUAAAUGCCACCACUCAGCUGUCCCUGCUCUCCUGGCACUGUGUACCCCUGCUGAACAACUCAGGAGUUUUUCUGAGUUGCAGUCCAGGGGUUUUUGGUGGUUUGGCAGCUUAGAACCUUGUUUAAGUUGUCCUUGCUUAGCACAGUGGCCUUAAUUCCUCCCAGCUCCUGAGUUGGCACUGACAUUGAGCCAGGUCCUCCACAGGUGACAGUCUGAAUGUGUGUCCUGGCCAGCUGUCCAUGCAGGAUGAGGACUGGCUGGGCCACCUUGAGCUUGAGGCACUUGGGCUGGGCCUCUGCAUCCAUUUUCCUUUCCCUGCUGAGGAAUUGGACCAACUCCAGCUACUGAAAUGAGAAAAUCACCAAAUACAGGUAGGAAUUGUGGAAGAUGGGAUGAGUGGUGGCUUUUUUCUCCCCUUACUCCAUCUCUUCCCACAAUUCCCCCAAGAAAAGUUUCUUCCUUUUUUUCAUGUGCCACAGAUAAUUUUGGAAAAAUUUUGGAAUUCUCAAUUUUAGGGGGAAAAGUGGGGGAAAAAAUACACAACUGUAAGCACACAGCAGUGUCCUCAGUGCUCGUUUUACACUUGUAGCCUUGUGGCUGCUCUGCACAGCAGAGAGAGAUUACAGAAGCAAAGGUGUAAAGUGCUGUUGCUCUCAUAAAAUAAAUCCCUUGAGUUUCUGAGGAAGGCACAUGCCUGGCCUGGCUCUGUUCCUUACCUGGCCUUGACAGAUGCUCGUGUUCCUAAAGAGUCAGGGUUGGAUUUCAGAUCCUCUCCCUUGCUGGUUUUAUAACUUGAAUAAGAGGCAUUGUGAAAAGUCUUCUGUUUUGCUGUACCAUAGCAAGGUCUAGUUGUCCUUAAAUAUUUUGUCAGCUAAUCCUUAAAUUUUAGUUAUUGUGAAAGUGCUGUGUCAACCCAGCUGCUUCUGGUCGAGUGAAUUUCUGUGGCUUUGAGGGUACUUCAUCUUUAAAUUGAAGACAAAUUAAUACAAAAUUACACAAGAGGACAGAGGUGAAUCUGAAAUGAAAAGAAGCUCAAAAUCAGCUCACUGAUAGCUGUGGGCAGGCUGUGUCCCUGGUGUUUGCACAGCACGUGCCAGGCACACAGCCUGCCUUCAGGAGCACAGAUCUUGAUAUGAAAAUAAGGAUUUUAUCAAAGCUACUGAACCGCCUGGCUUCUGAGCUCCCCCUCCAGAACACACCAGGCAGCUUGGUUGCUUUGCAAUAUUUUUCUGGUGCCUGCAUGACUCAGUAAAUGCACAAGUACAGAAAGAGGGGUCUGGGGAGGUUUUCCCCUGUUUUCACUGCAGUUUCUGUGUUUUUUCCAUAAAUGCUGUGCAGGGGCUCUGCUACCAUGCAUGUGCUGUGCAGAGUGGAGGAUGCAAUAACAAAUCCAAAUUGUUACAAGUGCCAAACUUUUGGGUUCUUCUGUGUAUAACAAUAAUUCAACUGUUCUACUAAAAUACAGAUAUGCCUAAAAUUCACUGUGUUCCAAAAAAGAGCAGUGGUUCUUUUUUUUUAAAUGAAUGCUAUUGGAAGCAAUGUAAAUCUUUUUUUUUAAUACUGUUCUGCAGGUUUGUGUUACUCUUCACAGCUGCCUUGAGUAUCACUCCAUGUGAUGCAAAUGGACACUUUGCUCUUUACUAGAGCACUGGUGCCAUGCAAAUAUAUAAUAAAAGGCAGCUGACAACAGGCUUUAGUAUUUAAAAUUAUAACUGUUUAGAUUAAGUGCAAUUUGUUUGCAUUUAUCGACCUGCAGAAUGAAACUGUGCCUCGGGAAAUGUGGCUGUGCCCAGGGACACGGGCAGACUGAGCAUUGUAACUAAGGUGUGGUUUGGUGCCACUCACAGCAAUGCUUUCCAAGGAAUUAUAUUUAAUUUAGUGUUAAAUGGAUCCUUUCUGCCUCUAAUUUAGCACUGAGGAUUUGGGGGUUGUGUUCUCUUUAGCUCUUUGGAGUACUUAAAUGGCUCCUUCAGGUGGGUGGGAGGGGUGUUAAUUGCAUCCGUGUUUGUAGAAGCUGCUAUUUCCAUCUUCCCAAAGGAGUAUUUCCUUUUCCCGUUCAGGACUGAGUACUGGCCUGUGUUUCAGUCGUCACUGCUGCAGCCUUUUGACAUUUGCCAUUUUCUGAUGCUCUUCCUUGGUUUUUUUUGGAGCUGUGUUUCCAGGGCACAUGGUCUGUGAGAGAAAAGCACAGGGCUUGGGAGGGUGAGCCAGUAAAAGCUAAAGGCAGUGGGGUUUGGGGAAACUCUGCUCAUUUUCUGUGGGGGUCACCUCUGUGUGCUCUGACGUUCUUUGAUAAGUUUGGCACCUGCUCUCCAUCAUCCCUAUGGGUUUUGGUGUGGUUUUUUUUUUCUUAUUUUUUUUUUCCCUGGGAAAUUCCUUGCUGUAGGAAGGAUUGCAGCCAGGGUUUAAGGUGACACCUCUGACCAGCCAUGGCCAGUGUGACUCUGCAGUCUGAUUGCUGCUGUGCUCCAGCAAUCAGUUCUCCCAAAAUUUUGAUUAACAUGUUACCUAAAAACAGAGACUAAAGCCAUUCAAAGUGCCCAGCUUGAUAAACACCUGUUUAAAAGGAUUAAGGGUAAUAAGAAUAUUAAACUAUGAGCUACCACCAACAGGUGAUUAUGUUGAAAAUUAAUUGGUGAUACCAAAUCUGAAUAAUAUUUUUAAUUACUUAUUCUAGGUAGCUGCUUUUUAGUUAUAAAACUAUUUGCAAUACAUAAAGGACUGGUAUAGAAUAAUAUUUGGAGGUUAUUUGAAAUAAUCUCUUGGAAUAUCUUGAAAAGUGAGCUAGAAGAUUGGAGCUUUUCAAUGGAAAAAGGCUAAAUCUUGAUGCCCGGCAGUUUUGCAGGAUUUCUGAGCAGAGAACACCUGCCAGAGCACUUCAGUCCAUGAAGCUGCUCAAUGCCACUGCCUACCUGUGCCCUUGAAUUUGCAUAAUGAAAUGAGGCUGUUCUGAGCCCUGGUAAAAGCUGACAGGUCUGAUUACAGUAAUAGAAAGAAGUAUCCCCUGUGUGUAAUCAGUGUUAUUUUAUUGAUAAAACACAAAUUAUUUUUUUUAAUACUAGGGGGUUUUGAAUUACCACCUGAGGCACUAAUUUAAUUUUUUUUUCUUAAUUUAUUUGACUUUCUUCCAUUUCUUUUGAGUUAAUUCUGAGACAACCUCAGUUUUUGUCGAGGUCAAGUUUCUUUCAUCUGUAGCUCUAAACCCUGUCAGAGCCUGACUGACCUCCUACCACCAGCUGUGCACUUGUUUCUCAAGUGUCAUUUCUGUGCAUUCUGUUAUUGGGCUGCCAAUUUCAGAACAGGAGAAAAAAACCCUGUGGAACAAAUUUGUACCUGAUGACAGCAAAAGCCAUUUUGGAAAGUUUAAAUUUCCAUCUGCAAUAGGCAGUGUGCUAUGAAAACCUGAUCCUUGGCUGGGCUUGAGGUUCUCUACUGAACAGCCUCACAGGGAAAAGCUUUGGGUUUUAUUAAUCUGCUUUAUUCAUUUACACAUGAUAGCAGGAAAGCCUUAUCGUCACUUGUUUCACUGUUUUUAUGUAUUAAAAAGCAAAGCCUGCUUAUUUGUUAGAGUGAAUAAAGCAGUGCACAGGGGUAUCUGCUGAGGUGAUCAAGUUAAACACAGCUGACAUUCUGUAAAGCUCUUGCUAUAGUUUCUUUCUGAAGGGAAGCCAGGGAGUGCCCUCUCAAGAAAUACUUUCAAACCCUUUCAGAGCUGGUCUUAAACUAGUGCAAAGGACUCCUCUGGGUUGCUUAGAGAACAUAAAGUCUGUUCUAGCUUUUGUUUGCUUAGGGAAACACCUGCUAAGUCAAUUUUAAGCUUUAUUUUUUUUUUUUUUUUGAAUCCUUGAUUUCCAAAACCUAAAGUUUGCUUCUUGCAAUUGAAACAUGUUAGUGUUUAAGGGUCUGCAUUGUGCAAUGCAUGGUGAGUGCUCUGUCCUAUCUUGGCUACGUGAUGUAGACAGCAAGCUGUGUUCUGGGGGGCUCCUGGAAGCUCCUUUGCAGUGCUGAGGGGUGGAGAAGGUUCAGUACAAAAUUCUCCUUAGACUGCACAAGCCUUGCUGUGAGUGUCAGGGGGGCAAGAGGGGUUUGGUACAGAACUCAUGGAAUUGCCACCACUGACUGCCCUCGGUGUUUGGACCCCAAAGCCCAUCAGGGGCAGGUCCUGGGUGUUCCAUGCACGCUGUUUCCUCUGGCCUCAAGUGUUUUCUCUUUUGCUGUUAUUAACAGGAUUUUGCUUUCACUCUCCCUCUGAGCACACAGCCUGUGCCCAUGGGCCUGGGAGCACAGCUCCUGUGGGCCAGAGGGUGGCCACACCAACUUGCUCCCUGUGAGAACUCACCCAGGCUUUGCACAUCUCUGCACAUCAGUGUGUGUGGGGACAGUGUUUAGUACACAAUGAAAUGACUUUUCCUGGAGCUUGUAAAACUGCUGCCAGCAGGUCAGAGAUCAGCUGAGCCUGAGCAGAGCUGCAGGCAGAGCAGGUGUAGCCCAGUCCCUCGUGUGUGUCACUGUGGUGGGAGCCUGGCGCCUUGUCCUGGGGGGAAAAGCCCCUAUGCCCAGCUACCUCAUUUUUUCUUUCUUUGCACUUUGUCAAAUAUUUUUUAUUUUGUUUUGUUUUAAAUCACAUUUUGUCCUUCAAUUAAAAAAACCUAAAAGCAGACAAGAAGCAGGACAGAAUGGUAUCAUUGCCCAAGGACAGUUUAAUUUCAUUUUAAAUUAAUGUUUCUGUACAAAAAGACCAAGGUUGACCUGCAGCUGCUGUAAAAAGUAAAUAAAAAUUUCUAUUACUUGACAGUAACUAUUAUACUUGGAAAUGAGAGUAGCAAUUGAAAGGCUGUCCUGAUGAUUUUUAAAUAGGAAGAAAUCUGUUUAAAAAAUAGAAAUCUCUGCUCUUUUAAGGAAAGAUCAGAUAGUUUUCUCUCUUCCUCUACUCUGCUCUCACUGUUAUGCCUGUGAACUUGACACAUUGUCUCAAUAGAGAGAUUCACUGAUUUUACUGUAAUGUCUAAUUAGAUAUUUUUCUGUGGAGUUCCCCAUUUAAUCACCUGCAGAGGAAAAACUGUUCAAAUCAAUACCCACCUUCCAUACCUGAACUUAUGUCAUUGUCCAUUUCUUUGUGAUCUUCAGGUAUGUGGGGUUUUGCUUAGAUUGAAAAAGUUUUUUAAAAGAUGUCUUUUCUUCUGCUUCUAAAGGUGCUAUUUUGACAUAGAUUUGAAUUCCUUACACUGUGCUUGACUUCUAAAAGUACCAAUAUAAGCUGGUAAUCAGCUUGUGUUUGUUCUGUGGAGUUUUUCUUUGAGUAUUCAAUCUCUAUUUUGAAAAGCAUCCCUUUUCAUAAAGAUGGCUUCCAAACUGUCAAAGGCCUUAAUAAUACAAAAUGUAAUGGGAAAAUGCUACCUUUUUCCUUUCUUUGUAAAAGCAAAGCCAAGAAAUGCUUCAUGGAGAACAUCUUCCUCUAAAAUUUUGAGGAGUAGCUCAUACUAACUUUGACUUCAAUGUAGCAAACAUUUUAGUGGCCAUGCACAAAUAGUAGGGGUGAAACAAGGAGCUAUUCAUAACUCUGCAGACUGUACCAAUUAGCUGCUAAUUCCAGAGCCUUCCAUUAGCAUCAUGGUGGCUAUUCCAUAAAUAUUAAUCUUGCCAGGACGUGGCUGUGUGUCUGGGACAGGCUGACCCAUGUGGCUGGCACAUCUGGGAUGUUGGGCCUGGUGUGGGGUUUGUCUCAGACCCCUCCUGCUCAGCCCCCAGGGUUUGGGUGCCACAGGUGCUCAGGAGGAAGGAGGAGGGAAGCUCCAAGUGCUGCCAUUGCAGUGACAUUGGCUUGGGCACUCUGAGGAGUGGCUCUUGCAGACACAAGCCAUGGAGGAGAGAGCUGAAUUUUACUCCUGCAUAGGAGCUUUGUUGUCGUUUUUGUGCUGUCUUUAUUUUUGUUUGAUCUGUAUCAUCAGUUUGGUUUAGGCAUUUGGUAACACUGCUACAGGAAGGUUUUUCUUUCUCUGAAGCACAUAAAGUCCUACUCCUGCCCUGUCUGAAGCAGCAGGAAGGAUCAAGGGUUGAUGUUUGAAUUUGUCCCAUCUCAGACAGCAGGUUAUUUAUUGCCUUCUCCUGGGCUCUGCAGUCCCAGUGCUGUAGCAUUUCUCAGUUGUGUUACUCUAAGAGCCCUUUAGGCUUUUGAAGAGAGUCCAGAGACUGCCUUGUCCUUCUUCUCCUUCUCACAUUGGGUGCUGCCCUCUGGACCAUCCAAACUCAUGCAGGCUGUCACUGCAGAGGAGCCACCGGUUGGUGGCCUCACAGGAGUAUCUGUGUUACCUGCAGUGCUUCUGAAAAACAGCUGAUAAAUGAGGGGCCAUGGAGAAACCCUACUGAGCUUGCAAAUUCCUGAUCCUCUCAUUCUAGGGAAGGCUGAGGAGCAGCAUCAUUCCUUGCCUUGCAGCUGCUCCCUGCUGCACAGGUAAGGAUGAGUCCACACUGUUCCUUAUGAUAUCAACAUUUAUGGGCUGUUAUAGGAGAUCUACUAUUUUGCAUUUGUUAUAUUUAAAUCUGAAACUUCUGGAGCUAUGGAAUGGUGGGUUCUGGAACUGUCUGCAGUGUGGAACCACAGGUACUGGCCUAUAGAGCUGGGGAGCUUCUGGCCACCUGUUUUUCCACUGCACUUUUUUCUUUUUUUGAGAAACCAGAGAUGUGAAACUGCAUCCCAGUUCAUAUGCCCACUGCUUCAUAGUCCAGAGUGGGACCCUGAUAAGCUGGAAUUGUUUUACCUUCAGGAGGAAAAACUAAAAUUUCUUCACAUUAGAUGCUCUAUCUUCAGAGUUUUCCCUUGGUAAAUCAUAUUUAUUGAGUCCCAUGAAUCUUGUGGGAUUGGGUUAAAGAAUAUGAAUAUGUAUUAUAAGAAUAAUAACUAGUGUGCUUAGUCUGACUUUGUACAGUACAAAUAGUCUCUUAUAUCUUAAGAGAAUGAAACAGCUAUUGAAUAAUCCAGUUAUGAUAUCUGUAUUCCAUGAACCAAGUAAUAGGAGGGUGUUAGAAUGUGAUGUCACAUUGCUGCCACUCUCCUAAACGUUCAAUGUUCUGUCAAAUCUAAGAUCUUGAUAAUUACCAGGAUAUUGUCAGAAUAUAUUGCCACCUUUUCUACAAAAGGCACAUUGGUGUGGUGAGGUAAAAGCACUCACCUUUUACCUUUGCACUCACCUUUUCUUUACCACCCGUGGCAUGCAGCUGGACAGCAAGGGUUACCCCAUCACCCAGCUGUCCUGCUCUGACUCCUGCAUUACAGAUGUGGUUACUGUUACAGGCUUUUUAUGUGUGUACAUGUUCUGUGGGUCCUUCUGUGCUUUGUGUGGGAAUGGAGUUUUGCCUUUUACGUGUCCACCCCAAAAUCUUUAGAAAUUAAUUGAUUAAUUACUCGGGGGCAGGGUUUGGAAUGCUCUGAUUGGAGUAUGUUGAGUUACUUCUGUUUAAAACAGGGAAAAAUAAGACAUAAAUGCUCUUUGACCUCAAUCAAACUAUGCAAUACAGCACACCAGAGAGCUGAAUUCCUUGUGAUACAGAAGUGCAGCUCCCGUGUCCUUCCAAACCCAGUCCUUGGUCCAAGGUUAGGAGAGCUUGUACUCAAUGGCUGCCCAAGAAUCUCGUAUCCAGAUCAACUCUAGUUCACUGCUUUUGCUCCUGCCCCCUUGCCUGGCCCAGCAGUUUAGCUGGGUCAGGUUGUUGGGUGUUUUGGCUCGGGAUGAUGUGAUCUCCAUGUGUGUCCCUCCUGUUGUGCCAUGGUGUUGUCAGCUGGAGCUUGUCCUGUAACCCCCCCAGUGCCGCUUUACCACAUUAGCACCUCCCUGCCCUGGAGCAUGUCAGGUGUUUGGGGUUUGCUGUGCCCCCUGGGUUGGUGUUGUCUUCUUUCCCUGUGUCAGUCAGUUGUGGAUCUGGUGCUUACAGUAAAGAAUCCCUGUGAUGUCUCCAAUCAGUCCAAGUACGUUUUCAUUUCUGCUGCUUCUGUGUGAGUUUGGUUUUUUUGCUUCUGUGGCAAUUCAGCGAUAAAUGCCCAUGUGGUCAGGACUGCUGGUAAAGGUUCUUUGUUCUCCCAUUGCUUCAUUUUUCCAAUGAAAUUUGUUCCUUGUGUUCCUCUUCUUCCCCCUGGUAAAAAACGGGUACAGUUUUUCCUGGUUCUGCCUCCCGUGAGGAGCUCUCCUCUCCCAGGUGAUCCUGAAUUCUUCAUUUACUUAACCCACCCAGGACCUCGUACAGUUUCUGCCUCCUAACUCCCUUUUCUAUUUUGUCUCUCUUUAAUUCAGAUUGACCUCGAUUUCUUUCUCUGAUUCCAAGCAGGGAUUUUGGUGCAUAGCCUGGGAGACCAGCAGGAAAGCUCUCUCUGUGUACAUCCAUUCCCUCCCCAGCACAUGCAGUGUAAGGGGCUCAGCCUGUUCCAUUCCUUCCCCCAGGUUUUCCCUAGUGCUAAGCAGACCACAGGCUGAAGCCAUUUCUUAUUUCUUUUGGUAACUGAAAAUAUUAGGAGAUUUUCUUCUUCAGAAAUAGCCACUGCAGAUGGGCAGCUGGCAUGAGAGAGGGUUGUUAUGCUUCCAUAUUCAGUAUUUUUAAUUGAGGAACAAAUAAUUUAUUUUGGGGAAAAAUGUAAAUUUUUUUGUAUUUGUACGUCAAAGUGGCCUUUAUAGAAAAGCACAUAAAAUAUUUAGAUUAAAAUUGCUUAGUUGUGUAAUUUCAGUGGGGAUUUUUGUAUUGACAGGGUUUCUAUGCAUUUUUCAAAAUAUACUUGCUGUUUUGUGUUAGAAUUAUUGGAAAUCUUUUAAAAAACAUAUAUUACCACAUUUUCCAUGGUUGAUCCCUUUACUAUCAUUCCUUUUGAAUACUAAAAAGAUUUUAAUUAACCCUGUAAAUUAAUUUUCCCCACAAAUAUUUGCAUUAAGUCAAUAUAAUGAGUUCUAGCAUGGGUAUGUAGCUUUAAGGGAAUAAGCCUAGUAGUGCAGCUUAAUUCUGGAGAGAUGUGUUUGCAGAAGGGUGGUACAGCAGCGUUUCAAUUGCACUUAAAACACUAAAUUAGGAAAUUAAGUUUUUGCUGUACCUCACUAGGGUUUUAUUAAACAUGUCCAUCCUGUAUUGUUUACACUUGAGCAUCAUUUAACUAUGUAUUAUUUGUGCAGUUUGCAGUUCUCUGUUCUGUCAGGAUUAUGUGAACAUUAACAGGUAGGAAAAGUUCUGGAGUGUGUGAUGUCCUCAUGGGUUUGGUGUGGGUUUGGGGAGGGAGGAGAGAGGAAAGUUAAAUCCAUUAGUGUAUUUUUCCAUUUAAUUAUGUACACAUUUUCACAUUAGAUGAGACUGAAUAACUGAAGUUACAAUUGAACUGUGAGUAAAAUCAGUGGUUUGGGGGUGGGGGAAAUGGAGGGGUUGCAGAAUUUCAGGCAAAAACCCUUCAGUUGCACUGUGGUACAACUGCCCUGACUGCCUGUGCAAAGCACAGCCCGAGGGGACACAUCAGACCCAUCCCUUUUUCUGGUUUUACUUUCUCUUCUCGAGGUGUUGCUGCAAGGUUUGCUAAGUAGGACCUUCCCAGGAAUGUCUAUCAACUGAGACUUGAGUUUUAUCAUUUUAUGUUUGUAGUUUUAAUUUUUGUUCUUGUUUCUGUUUCAUAGGAGAUCCCACACGUUCACAGGUUAGUGUAAGUGCAGGCUUUCAGGUGUAGCACCAAAUGAGCGUUUCAUGCAACCAUGCAUUCUGUAAUUAAAGAAAAAUGUGCAAUUCUAAUGGCACUUUGACCCAUUGCUGAAACACUGGGUUUUGCAAUUGAACAAACUCAAAAAUUGAAAACACUCUGUGUCUUCAUUAGAUGUCGUGAAGGUGAAGCAAAAGGCAGUUACUCCAGUUGUACCCAUGAUAAUUUGGUAUUUAUUUUAAUAUAGUUUUAUGGUCUGUUUUUAGAAAAACACUCAUUUCUUGGUUUACUUUAGUUGCCAUAAAUUGCCCAGUGCAGAGUCUGGUCCACCUCCAUUCAUUUAUUUUCAUGGAAUAGUUGCACAAAAACUGGUAACAGCAAAGUAGGAAAGCUCUUUGGUUACUCACCACUAGCUUCCCUUGCAGAAUUGCUUUGUGGCUCACACAUGGUUUGAAAAGGGACACGGGAAUUUUCCUGGAUUCAGCAGCACUCGCUUUGUUUACGUGUUCAGUAGAACAUUGGGUGACUAAAGGGAGGCUCCCUUUUUAAAGUAUUGACUUGUGCUUUGAGGACUUAGUUGCCACUGUGCAAAUUGUGCUGUAAUAUUGUACCAAGGAUCAGUGAAAGUGUUUUAUCUUUUUUAAUGUCGUUUGUAUUUGACCGGGUUUUAUAAAUGUAAGAAAACAGAGUGUUGUAUUUUGAUCUGAAAUUUGCGUAUGGUAAAAGUAACUUUGCUUUAUGUAUUGGAGGUUUGUUCAGAACUUGAAUCAUUUUAUAGAAGGGUACAGACCAAAAUUAAUUGUCUUAAAGGUGUUUAAUAAAUUAACCAAAUAAAACAUUGAUUGUUUGAAAACUUGUUAACUGCA
Zonotrichia leucophrys gambelii is the source of this 14161-nucleotide RNA transcript. It is a transcript of the gene named gigaxonin, with no coding region annotated. The transcript is spliced from 12 exons. The record is from RefSeq and is a predicted model, not a curated record. Lineage: Eukaryota; Metazoa; Chordata; Aves; Passeriformes; Passerellidae.